RNAcentral lists this ribosomal RNA (312 nucleotides) under uncultured soil bacterium. RNAcentral describes it as "bacterial SSU rRNA". It matches the Rfam family "Bacterial small subunit ribosomal RNA", at positions 26 to 345 of the family's 1533-position model. The record is from RNAcentral.
AGAUUGAACGCUGGCGGCAUGCCUUACACAUGCAAGUCGAACGGUAGAGUAGCAAUACUUGAGAGUGGCGAACGGGUGAGUAAUAUAUCGGAACGUGCCCAGUCGUGGGGGAUAACGUAGAGAAAUUUACGCUAAUACCGCAUACGAUCUAAGGAUGAAAGCGGGGGACCGUAAGGCCUCGCGCGAUUGGAGCGGCUGAUAUCAGAUUAGGUUGUUGGUGAGGUAAAGCUCACCAAGCCGACGAUCUGUAGCUGGUUUGAGAGAACGACCAGCCACACUGGGACUGAGACACGGCCCAGACCUCCGUACGGG